RNAcentral lists this ribosomal RNA (468 nucleotides) under uncultured bacterium. RNAcentral describes it as "partial 16S ribosomal RNA". It matches the Rfam family "Bacterial small subunit ribosomal RNA", at positions 28 to 507 of the family's 1533-position model. The record is from RNAcentral.
GACGAACGCUGGCGGCGUGCUUAACACAUGCAAGUCGAACGGAAAGGCCCUGUUUUUGUGGGGUGCUCGAGUGGCGAACGGGUGAGUAACACGUGAGUAACCUGCCCUUGACUGUUGGAUAACUUCACGUAACUGGGGUUAAGACCAGAUAGGAGCUCCUGCUGCAUGGGGGUGGUUGGAACGUGUCGGUGGGUGGGGAUGGACUGGCGGUUUAUCAGCUUGUGGGGGGGGUAGGGGCUUAGGACGGCUUGGGCGGGGAGCCGGCCUGAGAGGGUGACCGCCAACAUGGGGACUGAGACAGGGCCCAGCCUCCUCGGGGGGGCGGCAGUGGGGAAUAUUCCACAAGGGCCGGAGCCCUGAUGCGGCAGCGCGCCGUGGGGGAUGACGGCUUUCGGGUUGUAAACCGCUUUCGCAUGGGACGAGGCGUGUGUGACGGUACUGGGUGAAGAAGCACCGGCUAACUACGUG